Molecule: ribosomal RNA, 253 nt
Filed under: uncultured bacterium
Lineage: Bacteria
Description: partial 16S ribosomal RNA
Rfam family: Bacterial small subunit ribosomal RNA
Source: RNAcentral
UACAGAGGUCUCGAGCGUUGUUCGGAUUCAUUGGGCGUAAAGGGUGCGUAGGUGGCGCUGUAAGUCGGGUGUGAAAUCCUGAGGCUUAACCUCGGAACUGCAUUCGAUACUGCGGCGCUUGAGGACUGGAGAGGAGACUGGAAUUCUCGGUGUAGCGGUGAAAUGCGUAGAUAUCGAGAGGAACACCUGCGGCGAAGGCGGGUUGCUGGGCUGACACUGACGCUGAUGCGCGAAAGCUAGGGGAGCAAACGGG